RNAcentral lists this ribosomal RNA (253 nucleotides) under uncultured bacterium. RNAcentral describes it as "partial 16S ribosomal RNA". It matches the Rfam family "Bacterial small subunit ribosomal RNA", at positions 524 to 776 of the family's 1533-position model. The record is from RNAcentral.
UACGUAGGGUGCAAGCGUUGUCUGGAAUUAUUGGGCGUAAAGAGCUCGUAGGCGGUUUGUUGCGUCGGCUGUGAAAUCCCGAGGCUCAACCUCGGGUCUGCAGUCGAUACGAGCAAACUAGAGUGUUGCAGGGGAGACUGGAAUUCCUGGUGUAGCGGUGAAAUGCGCAGAUAUCAGGAGGAACACCGGUGGCGAAGGCGGGUCUCUGGGCAACAACUGACGCUGAGGAGCGAAAGCGUGGGGAGCGAACAGG